UAACCCGCCAAUCUGGGAGGCAGCAUUUGGUCCUCCUAUGCCUCCUUUCUCGUGAUGUGGUCUUUCUUCUGAAACAAAGAAGAAAUAGUCAAAUCAGAUUUGCCUUCUUGGAAAUGUGGUCCAGAUUGCUCUACUCCCAAGCUCCAAAAAA
Non-coding RNA from Tursiops truncatus (common bottlenose dolphin), 151 nucleotides. Lineage: Eukaryota; Metazoa; Chordata; Mammalia; Artiodactyla; Delphinidae. The record is from Rfam.